Molecule: long non-coding RNA, 1091 nt
Filed under: Homo sapiens (human)
Lineage: Eukaryota; Metazoa; Chordata; Mammalia; Primates; Hominidae
Description: HSALNT0327543
Source: RNAcentral
AGCCUGGGCAACAGAGCAAGACUCCGUCUCAAAAAAAAAAAACAACAACAUACAAAAAUGCCUUUGGGAUUCAGCGUAAUCUGCAGGUUAUAAAAGCAACUGCAAGGAUGAUAGGAGCUUUUUUCACCACAGCCUAGGAUGCCUUUGAGAAAACCGACAAAUUUGAAAACAUGAUAAAGACUUCCCCCUGGAUUCAGCCCCUCUACUCUGCCAACAUUGCUCUCACCAGGGUACCCAGUGACCUCCAAGUUGCCCACUGUGGGAGCACUCCUGAGUCCUCAUCUUACUGGAACGCUCCUCACGACCAUCAGGGAAUCUUCUGCUGCCCAUGAAAGGAAGCCCAACUCGAAUUGCUGCAAGCAGAACUGGCUCCAGAUCACCAGAGGAAUAUGGCAAGACAUUUACUGAGGGUGGAAAGAGAUCAAACUGGCUGCGGUCACUGGAAUGUUCUAGCUCUGAAAGCGUGACUCAAGUCUUCCCUACUUUGGUGAAUGUUUGAAGCCUAGAGAAACAUAUUCCAUCAAGAAAGAAUAAUAAUUAAUAGAACAUGUUUGUAUACUCUAUAAAUUUUAUACAAAUUACAACAUUUCAGUUACCAUCAUUAUAAAUUUGAUAUACUGUUUAAUUUAUACCAUGUUAUCUUUAAUGUUUCUAUAUAUUUGGUGUAAUCUGUGCCAUAUUACUCUAUAAUUAGUAUAUUAAAAUGUAGUAGACUAUAGCUCUCUAUUAUAUUAGGAGAAUGCUACAUGUGUAACCAAAGAGAAUCUUAAUAUGUAUAGGAGUAUUCAUUAGAUAUGUAGAUAAUUUUUAUAUAUUAAUGAUACCUGCAAAUUUGUCUAGAUAAUACAGUAACUGUGACAAUAAGUAGUUUUUUUUAAGGGUUUAGAAAGUUAAAUAAUCAGACAAUGCAACAAUUUUUCCAGAAUGAUCUUAGAAAACUCCUUUGAGGUCAGCUAACAUGACAUCAAAAUUCAGUGUGCAUAACAGUUUGUUACUGAAAUACUUUGUCAGAAAAGGCUUUGCAUUAAAAAAAAAAUUGACGUAUUGAUUUCUUUUUACAGACGGGGUAUUGCUAUAUUGCCCAGGCCGGA